Molecule: ribosomal RNA, 292 nt
Filed under: uncultured bacterium
Lineage: Bacteria
Description: partial 16S ribosomal RNA
Rfam family: Bacterial small subunit ribosomal RNA
Source: RNAcentral
GUGCCAGCAGCCGCGGUAAUACGAAGGGGGCUAGCGUUGCUCGGAAUUACUGGGCGUAAAGGGAGCGUAGGCGGACAGUUUAGUCAGAGGUGAAAGCCCAGGGCUCAACCCUGGAAUUGCCUUUGAUACUGAUUGUCUUGAGUAUGGGAGAGGUGAGUGGAACUCCGAGUGUAGAGGUGAAAUUCGUAGAUAUUCGGAAGAACACCAGUGGCGAAGGCGACUCACUGGCCCAUUACUGACGCUGAGGCUCGAAAGCGUGGGGAGCAAACAGGAUUAGAUACCCUGGUAGUCC